This 5297-nucleotide long non-coding RNA is filed under the name Canis lupus familiaris (dog). RNAcentral describes it as "lncRNA (ENSCAFG00845029701.1)". The record is from RNAcentral. Lineage: Eukaryota; Metazoa; Chordata; Mammalia; Carnivora; Canidae.
AGAGCUAACUUCCGUAAUAAUAAUAAUGCACUAGUAAAAUGGGCGAAGUAUAUCAACACAUUACAGAACCACAGACAACCAAGAAAUAUAUAAAAGGAUGUUCAGACUUGCUCUCAAUUAGUGAAAUGCAAAUGAAAACAAUUCCAGUUUAAUCCAUCAGAAUGGCAAAAAUUAAAGGAUUGGAUAAAAAAAAGGAUUGGAUAAAGUAUCAAUUGUAAUUAUGAUUAAUAAUAAUACACUAAUACACUAAUACUAAUAUACUUAUGCAUAGUGGGAAACAUAGAAGGAUGAAAUAUCUCUGCAUGUAUGGAUAUGUAAAAAAACUCAGAUGUUCUUUUGCUUUUAAAGAUUUUGUUUUAGAGAGAGAGAGACAGAGGCAGAGAGAGUGUGGGGGAGGGGAUGGAGAAGAGAAUCUCAAGCAGACUCCAUGCUAAGCAUAGAGCACAAUGUGGAACUGGAUCCCAGGACCCUGAGAUCAUGACCUGAGCCAAAACCAAGAGGCACAUGCUUAACUGACUGUGCCACCCAGGUGUUCCGAGAUGUUCAUUUUCUAAUCACUAUCUAUAUCUAUGAUAUUUAGUGUAAGCAGUACAGUAAGGAUUUGCUUUUGUUUUGGUUUCUGGAUGUAUAGCCUAUCUCCCCUCCCAUCGUUUAUAUAUAGAUAUAGAUAUAUCUAUAUCUACGGAUAUAUCUAUAUCUAUAUAUAUGGCUUAUCUAUAUGGGCUUAUGGCCCAUCACAUGCCAUAAAGAAAGGAAUUAAAAUCCCACUGUUAAGAUAUAAGAUUUCCAUUUGAUACUGUGUGGGCUGAAUAAGGCACCCAGGCCACCCCAAGAAUGUCCUAGUCUCCAGAAUUUGUGAAUCCCUAGACCCUGUGGCAGGGAGAUUAGCUAUGCUGGCCUGAUAUAAGAACAAGGGCCUAUGGAGGGGGCCCCAGGAGCUGGUCAGAAGAUGGCAGUGUGAUGCAGGAAGCAGAUUCAGAAAAACCCACUUUGCCUCUGGCUUUGAAGAUGGAGGAAGGGGUCAAAGGCCAAAUACAGGCUGCUCUAGAAGCUGGAAAAGGCCAGGGAAUGGAUUCACCCCUCGAGCUUCCAGAAGGAACCAGCUCUGCUGAUCCCUUAAUUUUAGCCCCUAAGACUCAUUCCAGACUUCUGAUCACUAGAACUGUAAGAGAAUAUAUUUGAGUUGUUUUAAGCCACUGAGUUUUGUGUUUGUUACAGCAGCCACAGGACACUAAUACAGAUUAUGUGGAAAAUCUAAGAGCGUGCUAUUAGAAUAUAAAUGAAAUGCACUAUUACAGGUUUCAAAAAGUCAAAGAAGAGAGUGAGUUCAAAUCCUUUGGAGGAAGUAACUUAAUGGCUCCCAGAAACCAUCUUGCCUAAACUCGCUUGGGCUUCAUUUAGGAAAAACAUGACCAACCCUGUGGAGUUGGGAUUAUUUGCUUUGGAAGAACUAACUGGCGAAGACAGCAGACUCUCUCACCAGCAUUCAGGAAGCAAGAGGGGCCUAGAAACAAUGAUACCCCGGUAAUAGUGACCAUAGUGAGUGCCAACCUCUACUAAAAUACCAUUCUCCAUUAAGAAGAAUCAGGUUCCUUGGAGGAAUGUGUGACUCCAGGCCCAGAGCAAGGAAAGUACAGGAUAAGGCUGAUAUGUCAACGGACACAGAAGCCAGCUUAACGAAGUUCUCACUGGUCAAAUCUAGGACAAUUUCAGCAUCAACAUAAAUGAAGCUACAAGAUAACAACCUACUAAAAUAAAGUAGGAAUCUGUGAGUCCAUCCUGAUAUAAUGAAUAACUAAAUGGAUGAGGAAAGAAAACUCUUCCUUAGGGUAGGAUGACAACUAAUAAAUGAAUAAGGAGUGGUAGGAACAGAUAAUGAAGAUUUGACAACUAUCACAGAGGUAGCUGAGAUAGGCAGGUGUUGUCAAUGGAUGCUAAAGGCUGGUAAAUGUAGGACUGACAAGGAAUAGAAUUUGGUGCACUACCAAUCAAAUAGAAAGGAAAAGAUGGUGACCUUCUAGAGGAACCUGGCAGACACCCACAUCCCCUGUGAUGGGACAUGUAGAUGGCCUACGCCUCCCUGUGCCUGUGGCGUACACAGAGUCAUUUCAAUGGUCUUCCUGCCAGGAGCAUGGCCACAGUCAGGUCAUGAGGAAUCGGCAGCGGAUCCAGCUUGAGAGUCUUCCUACAGAACAAAGGAAGGCCUGAGCUCUUUAACAAAACUCUUUAACACAGACUCUUUGACGCAAAAUUAAGCAGAAUGUUAAAUGAAUGGACAAACUCUUUGUCUUAUAAAAAAACAUUAUCACAUAGGUAAGAUGAUCACCUAUCAUAAGGGUUUUCAAAAACACUAUUUCAAACAUCGCAUCUGCUUUUAAGAUUAUGUGUCCCAAUUUUUUGCUUCAGAAAUGUGGUUAUUCUAAUAUUGAAGAAGGGACAUUUAAGAAUGAACACUGGUUAAGAAGGAAGGGAGUAUGUUAUAAAAGGAAAAAAAAAGGUACGUGUGGCCAGAUAUGUGAGUUACAGUGUGAGCUCUGUCAACAGAGCUAGUUGUUUGGCCUCAGCCGUUCAAUGUCUGAGGUUAGCUAAUUGUGCUCAAUAACUUCUAAAGUCCAGUCCAGCAUGAAAAUCCACGAGUUAAAUAUACUAUAUUUGUAUAUCAGAAAGUUCAAGCUUUAUCUGAUAAUAUGAAAAUGUGCCACGUUCAGUAAUUGGAUGGGAAUAGACAAGUGAGUAGGUUUGAUUAUUUAACAACUUGAUAUGAUUUACUUUUGACAAAAGCCUUGAAUUCAUUACCAGGCUGAGUAUUCCAAAGAAGUGUCUUCAGGAUGAGAAAGGAGAAGCUGUGCCUCUCUACUUCCGCCAAGUGGUGGCAAGUGUGACAGACCGCAUGACUAACAAAUACUGGAGCUAAAUUUCUAGAAGUGUAAAUUUUCAGCUCCCCCUCCUGGCCACUGCCACAUUUCUUUUUAAUUCUCAAUGUUGACCUAUUUUUUACUAGAAUUUUAUUCCAUUUUAAUAAAUUGUACUAAAGUACCCUACUCUUGAUAUAUCUUACACAUUAAAAUGUUAAUUUUAUGCAUUCUUUCAACACAUAUUUGAAAAAAAAAAAAGAAAAAAACCCCCACAUAUUUGAGAGCUUUCUAUGUGCCAGGAACUGUCUGAGGCAUGGGGGAUGUAAUGAACACAAACGUUUCUCUUUUCAUGUUGCUUAUAUGUUGGUAAUAAAAUAAUCACAAUAGUGACUGUUCUAAGUGUUUUAGAGGAAAGAGACAACUCUGUGGAGAUAUAUCCAAAGAAACCUGAUCCAGACAGUGACCUUGGAAGUUCUAUGGAAGGGCCAUCUAAGCAGAGAUAUGACAGGUCAGUGGGAACUAAUCAUGCAAAAAGGAAUGGAGUGUAGGAAGGAAGUACAUUGCGGAUGGAGAGAAAAGACAGUUCCAAGGCCUGGUGGGUAGAUAAGGCCCAUGUGGCUGGGUCCCAGUGGUUCCCAAUGAGUCUCCGGAGGUAGGUGAGGGUGAGCAGCUGCAGUCACAGGAGGGCAGGUUUAAUUCAAGAGCAACAGGAAGCUAGUAGUGAGUAAAGGGAAGAGAUAACAUAAUUUGUUCUGCUUCUUGAAGGUUACUCUGGCUGCAGUGUGGAGAAGAGAAUACAGGGGAGGAUUUCAGAAGGCUGGUGAAAGAAGGUGGCAGUUUGGACUAAGUGCCAGUGGCAAUUAAAAGUAGUGAAAGAUGUACAGGAGGUGAUGUCGCCAGGGCUCGGUGAGCCACUGGGCAAAGGGGCAAGGGUAAAGGUCAAGGAGGAAUCCUAGCUGCCAAUGGAAGAGGUCCCAGCUGGGAGGAGUGGUGGGAGAUUGGUCUUCUGCACAUGGAGUUGGUCUCUGAGAGGAAUUAAGAGGCAAGGUCAAUAAGCCAGCUGGACAUACAGGUCAGCUCAGAAAAGAGGGCCAAGCUGGAGAGAUUAAGUUGGGAGUCCACAGCAUAGAGAUGGUGGGCAUGGGUUUGUGCCUAAUGUCAGAAUAUGGGGGCAUGGGGAAAGAAUGCGAUGAAAACAGACUGAGCUUUGAGGAACUGCAGUAUUAAGGAGCCCAGGAGAGUGAGCCAGCAUGGCUGUAGGAAAAGCAGAAAGAGGUGGGGGUGGAGGGGGGCACAGAGGCCAAAGGAAGACAGUGUUUCAAGAGAUGGGAGCAGAGUGUCAAAUUUAAAUGCUGCCAAGAGAUUGAGCAAGAAGAGGCCCGGAAGUGUCUGAUCAGUGGUUUUGUUUUGUAUAGAGAUAAGGGUGGAAGGCAGACUAGAGCGGCCUAAGGGAUGAGAGACACAGGAAUGGACGCAUGGAAGAUGGCAAUUCUUAAAAAAGUUUGCUUGUUGAAGGGAAUGAGAGUUUGAGCAAUAGCUGGAAAAUGAAGGGGCACAUGGGGUCAAGGGAGAUUUUUUUCUCUUUUGUGAUGGGACACUGGAGCAUGUUUAAAAGCCAAGGGAAAGAGCCAGCUGAGAUGGAACAGGUGACAGCUGAUAACAAAAGCGGAAGGAUUCUGGCAAGUGGGUGGGGAUGAGAUCCAAAGCACAGGGAGGGGUGGCCUUGGCUAGGAGGGGGAACAUGGGUAUGGCUGUAGGUAAGGCUUGCAGUUGUGGUAGCUGGGGCUUGAGGAGAUUCCUGUCAGGCAGCUUUACGUUCCUCUAGCAAGUGACAGCAGUGUGAGAUCAAAUUUGAGUAAAGUGGGGGGUUUAUGAUCUGCAGUAUCUUAUGAUAUCCUAUUAGACCCUCCACAGGCUGCAGCAAUCCUGCCAUGCUGCUUUGGUCAACUGGGGUUUCAUUUGAUGGAAGAAGAAAAAAAAAUGGGAGUUGGGGGGUCUGUGAUUGGGAGGUACAGUUGCGUGGGGGCCAUUAGCUCUCUGAGGGCGAGGACCUGUCCUAUCAAUCCCUGCAUCACUCUGUGACCCACUGACUGGAGAACCAGCGCCCAGGCACUCACUAUCAAAAUGACCAGCACUGGAAUGAUCACUUGUCUCCAUUUCAAUUUGCCUCUUUUGGUGCUUUCUUUUUUUAUUUAUUUAUUUAUUUAUUUAUUUAUUUAUUUAUUUAUUUAUUUAUUUAUGAUUUUAUUUAUUCAUGAGAGACAGAGAGAGAAAGAGAGAGAGAGAGGCAGAGACACAGGCAGAGGGAGAAGCAGGCUGGAUGCAGGGAGCCCGACGUGGGACUUGAUCCCGGGACACCAGGAUCACCCCCUGGGCUGAAGGCAGCGCUCAAACCGCUGAGCCACUGGGGCUGCCCCUUUUGGUGCUUUCUAAAAAAAAAAA